GACGAACGCUGGCGGCGUGCUUAACACAUGCCAGUCGAACGGAAAGGCCCUGCUUUUGUGGGGUGCUCGAGUGGCGAACGGGUGAGUAACACGUGAGUAACCUGCCCUUGACUUUGGGAUAACUUCAGGAAACUGGGGCUAAUACCGGAUAGGAGCUCCUGCUGCAUGGUGGGGGUUGGAAAGUUUCGGCGGUUGGGGAUGGAUUCGCGGCUUAUCAGCUUGUUGGUGGGGUAGUGGCUUACCAAGGCUUUGACGGGUAGCCGGCCUGUGAGGGUGACCGGCCACAUUGGGACUGAGAUACGGCCCAGACUCCUACGGGAGGCAGCAGUGGGGAAUAUUGCACAAUGGGCGGAAGCCUGAUGCAGCAACGCCGCGUGCGGGAUGACGGCCUUCGGGUUGUAAACCGCUUUCGCCUGUGACGAAGCGUGAGUGACGGUAAUGGGUAAAGAAGCACCGGCUAACUACGUG
RNAcentral lists this ribosomal RNA (468 nucleotides) under uncultured bacterium. Its description in RNAcentral is "partial 16S ribosomal RNA". It matches the Rfam family "Bacterial small subunit ribosomal RNA", at positions 28 to 507 of the family's 1533-position model. The record is from RNAcentral.